Oryctolagus cuniculus (rabbit) is the source of this 2580-nucleotide non-coding RNA. The record is from RefSeq and is a predicted model, not a curated record. Lineage: Eukaryota; Metazoa; Chordata; Mammalia; Lagomorpha; Leporidae.
GACGCUUGCGCAGGGCUCUGCGCUUUUCCUUGACGUCAGGGCCUCCUGCCGCAGCCUUUGUUGGCGCGGAUCUUCACGCCCUCCGCCUUCUAUAGCAGAUUGGUCAACUCCAUCUUGGCCUCCAGCUCCUGGGCUUCGUGCAUGUUCUGCUCCCGCAGCUCUUCCAGCCUGGAAAUACCCAGCAGCCACCGGUCAGAUUCCUCUUCACCUGUACCUCUUCCAUCCCACUCCAACUGUCUCCCGCCUUUUCUCCAAGGCAGUGGCCGACAGCUCCAUGGUACCGCUCUGGCCCCAGUCCUCCUAGAUCUAAACGUGCAGCCACUAAGGCAGGACAUGCAGGGCAGAGAGAGCCAGGCCCUGUGGCCAGGCCAUUUGCGGGAGCUCUUGUGGAACUGGGAGUCUUCUCCUCUGUGGCCACCUCUCGCUUUUUGCUCCCAAACAAGUUGGAGACUUCUCCCCCGAGGACUUGACUGUGUGCUUUGCAGCCUUCACUUUCUUCUCUCCCGUAAUUUCUUGUGUUUUCUUUGUGGAGGCCCAACGGUUUCUGAGCUUUGAGUUUUACCAGCCCAUUUGGGAUUCUAUGGAGUGGCCCUGCAGGUAGGCAUCUUUGGCAAGCCUGGCGGCCAUGACUGCAGGUUCAGGCACAGGGCUCGCUGGGCACACAAGAAUUCCACAGGAGGGAGGCAGAAGCCUAAUGCCCAGAUGCCUGCCGCCUGCUGUCACUACUGGCUGGAAACCAUCACAUGGGCAGGCACCGCCAGCUGAACCAGAGCCCAGCUUUAGACCUUUUAACUUUAAAAUGCCUGCUAGAUAUUUGAGUCAAAAUUCUAGGUGGGCAUUGGAGAUAUGAAUAUGGAUUUCAGGGAAAGAAACAAGGCAGGCAUUUGAAUAUUGGUGAAGGCAAUGAUCUCAACCACAAGGUACACUAGCUUCAUACUUAGGUAGAUCUAAUGACCUUCACCAAACACUGUGAAAAGAGUGUAUAGGACAGCAAGAGAGGGCUAUAGGGAAAAAAGUUGUCUAGUAGACAACAUUAUUAAAAAUGCUUCCAAUGCUGCUUAUCAGGGAAGCAGCUAGUUAGAAAAUACAUUUGCUAUGGAAUGCUAGCCCCCUGGAGAAAUGAGAUAGUGCCUAUUUAAACAUCUUAAGGGUAUCAGAUGCUAAGGUGUAGUAACUUGCAAUCAAUACCUGUAAUUUGAUGAGUAGGUAACCAAAUCCACCCACCUGAAUCCAAUCUUUUAUUUUUCAUUAUGGACUAGACUGAAAAAACAACAAGUUUUUAACCUAUCAAUGCAGGUGAAACACAGAAUUUGAUCUUUGGUAAAUCUUAAAACAUAAUACAAAAGGGAGAUAGUUUGAAGGCCCAGAAAGAAGCCCAGCUGUUGAGCCAGGACACAUUCUUAGAGCCAGAGCCAACAGAAACACUGACAUUCUUACACAUUGAACAAUGCUCAGCUUCCUUCCCUGGGGAUCCACUGCUCCUAGAUCCAAGGCCUAAGUCUCUGCCUCCCAGAUGGCACAGCCACAAGCCCAUCUUUGAUAUGGGCCAGGGUCAAAGUUUUGCAGACAAUUUCAGAAAGACCUAAUUAUCUUGAACAUUAUCCUCAAACUUCUUAAAUUCCUCCCAGAAAAAGUCUGAAAAAAGCAUGAAUUUUUGGAAAGUUGCUGUAAUUUUCAGAGAUUUAUCCAUCAUUUUAUUCAAGGUGACCAGAAAGAGAAUUGCAGAGAAAACAUUUCUGAUCAUGGCUGAGCUGCUAAAGAAACAUGGACAAUUGACUAUCUCUAUAGGUUUCUAGUAAUGUGGGAAAAAAACUGAGAAGACUGGAGUUUGGAAAACUUUCAGGUGGAAAACAUGCAGAUGUGCUGGGCGAGCGGUUCUCCUUGGUAAGAUGUGAGAGCACAGUGCCUUUCCCUUAUAAUUUGCCCUGUGCCCCUCUUCUAUUUGGCUGUUUAUUAAUUGUAUUCUUUAUAAUAAACAGGUAAACAAAAGCAUUUCCUUGUAUUUUGUGAGCCAUGGUAGCAAAUUAUUAAACAUGAGGAAGAAGUCAUGGGAACCCCCAAACUGUGAACAAGUUGGACAUCUAUAUAGAUAGGUCAGUGGCCCACAAUUUGACAUUGGUGGCUGAAGUAGGGAGCAGAGUUAUGACACUGAGCUCUUAGCCUGUGGGAUAUGCACUAAGCCUAGAUGGUAUCACACUUGAAUUGUAUUAAUCCAGUUGGCAACUGGAGAGCUGGAGAAUUGGUCCAUGUGGAAAUUCUCCUAUAUAUGCAAAUAUCUGAGGUCAGAAAUGAAGUACUGAGAGUAUAAUGAAGUGCUGUGUAUUUAAAUUAGAAAGAGAUGCAAGUUCUUUCAGAAAGAAAUGCAAGUUCUUUCAGAGGAGAAAGCAAAGUUUCCUUUAUAGAGGCAAAAUCAAAAUGGCAUUAAAUACAAAACUUUAAAACUCUUAAAUCCAAAUUUAAACUAUCAGUCACUGGCUGACAUUACACAGGACAGUUACAGAUAACAGUAAUUUCACUGGAUUCUCAUAAAAAUGAAACAUUUUGAUGCUGGCCUUGUGGAACAGCAGGUUACACUGAAAA